AGCCUCAGAUCAAACGUGGUGACAUGCUGAAUGUAAUCAUCUCACUAAGCGGUGAUAAAGAAACUAACCAGGAUUCCCUCAGUAGCGGCAAGUGAAUUUCUGAUUCCACAGCAAGUGGCAGGUGCAGGAAAUGUGGCACACAGAAGACCGACUCCCCAGCAUUACUCAGGGGCCCAACUCCUUCUGUUCUGAGGAGUUCACCACUGGAUGGUGUUAGGUGGUAGCGUCCCCAGAACACCAGGAUCAGGUCUUCUCUGAGUCCGGUGCUUGGGUAUGCAGGCCAAAGUGGGUGGUAGUCUGCAUCUCAAUCUAAGUAUGGGUGCCAGACCAAUAGCCAACAAGCACCAAUAAGGGAAAGUUGACAAGUACUUUGAAGAGAGAGUUCAAGAUAACUUAAAACAUUGAGAGGUAAAUGGAUGGGGUCCAUGUAGUCCUGCCAGAGGGUUCAACACAGUGGGUGGGUUGGUCACCUGGAACAGCGGAUUCCUUUGUGGGAUAACACUCAGGCUUAUCUGGCCCACACAGGGUGCAUUUCCUCUGUGGAGAUACACUUUGCUGGCUCCAGGUCAGCUGUGAAUGCCCCAGGUGGCAGGUGGCUCUCCACUCUGGCAGAGAGUGUUACAGCCCACUGGCUGAAGUUUUACCAGAUCCACGGCAUCGAGGGAGAUUGACCACUGGCAUGCCUUUCCCAUAACCAUCCCUUUCCCAUCUCAGUGUUCAUCGGUGCAGAGAUGGGGGUUGGGUGCCCUGCUCACGGUGUCACUGUUGACUUGGGUGGACUGUCCUGAGUUUACCCUGACCGUGUCACACCACAGGUUAGGGAGGUCCACAAAGGACAGCAUUGAUCUGGAUUGAUGUCAGUCACCCACCCGACCGAUCUUGAAAAACAAACCAAUGAGUGUGUGAGUCAGAGAGGCAAGCAAAAUCCUGUGGGACAAUGACGAUGAGGGAGAUGGAGCAUGAACAUUUGUGAUAGGACCCAAAAGAUUUUGAACUAUGCCUGGACAGGGAAUAGCCAGAGGAAACACUGGUGGAGGUCUGUACUGUAGUGGUCCUGACAUACACAUCAGCCAUCCAACGUGGGUAAAGGAGCGGAAGACUAAUCAAACCAUCUAGUAGCAGGUUCCCUCUAAAGUUUCCCUCGACAUAGUUGUUGCUCGGAUACCCCAGUUUUAUCUGGUGAAACAGAUGAUUUGGUGUCUUGGGUACAAAACAAUCUCAACCUUUUCUCAAACCUUACAUGCACCAAUAUUUUUGUAUACAGAACUGGCGCUGCAGGAUGAACCAAAUGCCAGAUUAAGGCACACAAUACCAAUUCUCAUCAGGUCCCUGAAAAAAGGUGUUGGUUGAUAUAGACCACAGAACAGUGGCCAUAGAAGUUAGAAUCUUCUAAGCAGUCUUAAAGGAGUGUACAACAUCUCACCUGCUGAAUCAACUAGACCUUGCAAUGGAUGGCGCUGAAGCAUUGGUCCUAAACCCAACUGCUGCUGACUCUGACAGCAACAGGAGCUAAGUCUCAUUGAAUAGAAUGGCUACCGCAGUGUGCAUGGAAGCAUAGCGUGAGGGUUCGGGUGUAGCACACGCAGGUGCAGAUCUUGGUGUUAGUAGCAAAUAUUCAAAUGAGAACUUUGGCGGCCGUAGUGAAGGAGCUGUUGAACAUGGGUUAUUAUUUCCUAAGAGAUGGGCGAGUGCUGUUUGGAAAGGACAGGCAAUGGCCUUCAUUGCCCUCAGCCGAUAGAAAGGGAGUCAGGUUUAGAUCCCUAAACCCAGGGUGGAGUAGACAGGCACCCUUGCAGCAUACAAUGUGGUAACACAAAAGUUCCCAUAAAUUAUUGCAUGAGCCUUAAGGUGAGUUCUAUUUUCUUAGCCCACCCUGUAAUAGGUUCCCCCAAGAGAGGCGUCUGAGCUUUGGAAAGCACUGCGGUUUGGGUGGUGUAUGAUGAACUCUUGCUGGUCUGUGUUAAUCCAGAGGAGUUGGUAUAAAUCUUGUGCCAGAUUGUACCCAUAUCUCCAGCAAGGUGAACCACCUCUUGCAUGUUGGGUUUCAUGUAGGUAAGGUAAGUCAGCUAGUCAAAUCUAUAACUUCUUAUGCAAAUUGGCUCUAGAGACUUGGUCGGUUAGGCUGGUGGACUUAGCAGGGCUGGCCAUGCACCACAACUGGAUGAAACAUUUCCACCCCUGUGGCUCGCCAAACUCUGAUGAGAGCCAGGCCCUUCCUGUGGAUCACCCCAGCUGGGGUUGUGGCCUCUCUCCUUUCCCCUCCCGGGUUUCGGGGACGGUGUCCUACCUCAGCGGACACCUUACAGUUAACAUAGAACUGGUGUGGACCAGGGAACUCUGAUGGUUUCAUUGAAAAAUGCAUCACAAAGGUUAAUGGCAGGUGUUGAUACAACGUGAUUUCUGCCCAGUGCUCUGAAUGUCAAAGUGAGAACAUUCAAUGAACCACGAGUGAUGGGAGUAACUAUAACUCUGUUAAAGUGGCCAAAUGCCACAUCAUCUCAAUAAGGACAUUCAUGAAUGGAUGAAUGGAAUUCCCACUGUCCCUACCUACUAUCUAGUAAACCACAGCCAAGGGAACUGACUUGGCAAAAUCUUCGGGGAUAGGAGACCCUGUUGAGCUUGACUAUAGUCCGUCACUGUGAGGAGACAUGAAAGGUCUAGGAUAGAUGGGAGGCCCUCAAGCCAGAAGUGAAAUACUAUUUGUUAUAGUGUUGUCAUAUUGAUGUACAUAUUAUUGGCCAUGGUUGUACAUAGAUAUGUAAGACGCAUGUUAAUUAAGCGCAAGAUCUUGUAAUGCCUCAUGAUGUCAUUACGUGCUUUGACAUGGAAACUCUAGAACAACAGAUGGUGACUUUACAUAGUUCUGGUGGAAUGUUAGGGUUGUGGAGAUGGUCAAGGGUCUGGGCUGCUGAAGCUUGAACUGAGAAAUAAAUAAAAUGUAUUGGAACAUACUGUGGCAAGAGAAUCCUUGGUCUUAAUACUGGCAAAGAGGAUACAUCAUCGAGAGUGCAGCACUGCCAGAAGCCCAUCCAGAUGAUUGCCAUGAAGCAGAGUUGAAUGGUGUAACGGUGAGCAGCAGGCUGUGUCAUUGCAGAGCCAUGGUACUCCAUGUGUCCAGGUAGGAGACAGCAGUUCUGCGAGUGAUGGAGUUCUUGAAGCGCUGCAGCUCUUUCCACAAGUGUCAGAGAUUGAGGGACAACCCAGCUUAGCGGCAGGCGAACGAGGGACAGUGCUAAAAAAUGGAUGCACAGCAACAUACCAAGGGAGUGUCUAGCACCGUGCCUCAUCCAUGCGCAUAUCAGGCACAUUGCAGUAAAAGUAGGUGUGCAUCGACGCAGUGCUCAAGCAAUGGACAAUGACCGGCAAUCAUCCCAAUUGCCAGGGAGAUCUCGCAAGACUUCCCGGCCGCCAUUGU
This 3415-nucleotide ribosomal RNA is filed under the name Ambystoma mexicanum (axolotl). RNAcentral describes it as "eukaryotic LSU rRNA". It matches the Rfam family "Eukaryotic large subunit ribosomal RNA", at positions 1 to 2595 of the family's 3401-position model. Lineage: Eukaryota; Metazoa; Chordata; Amphibia; Caudata; Ambystomatidae. The record is from RNAcentral.